Molecule: unclassified non-coding RNA, 222 nt
Filed under: Hevea brasiliensis (rubber tree)
Lineage: Eukaryota; Viridiplantae; Streptophyta; Magnoliopsida; Malpighiales; Euphorbiaceae
Source: RNAcentral
GCAACCUGCACAGCAGUUCUGCUAUUAGUUUCAGCUUUAUGACUGGUGUCAAAAGGUCUAGAGCUUCUUUUAUCCAUGUUCAGUACGAUGGUGCAGCAGGGCAAGGAAAUGACUUCAGGCUNNNNNNNNUGCUAAUGUAGUUUGUAACAUAUCAAUGUGUAACCAAUUCAUUUGCUGAUCUUGUACAGACAAUUAAUUGUUGAAUCAAUUGAUCACUGAAAA